RNAcentral lists this ribosomal RNA (406 nucleotides) under uncultured bacterium. RNAcentral describes it as "partial 16S ribosomal RNA". It matches the Rfam family "Bacterial small subunit ribosomal RNA", at positions 30 to 526 of the family's 1533-position model. The record is from RNAcentral.
AUUGAACGCUUGCGGCAGGCCUAACACAUGCAAGUCGAACGAGUGGCGGACGUGUUAGUAAUGUCUGGGAAACUGCCUGAUGGAUGGGGAUAACUACCGGAAACCGUAGCUAAUACCGCCUACCAUCGGAUGUGCCCAGAUGGGAUUAGCUAGUAGGUGGGGUAACGGCUAACCUAGGCGACGAUCCCUAGCUGGUCUUAGAGGAUGACCAGCCACACUGGAAAUGAGCCACGGUCCAGACUCCUACGGGAGGCAGCAGUGGAGAAUAUUGCAAGAUGGGCGCAAGCCUGAUGCAGCCAUGCCGCGUGUAUGAAGAAGGCCUUCGGGUUGUAAAGUAAUUUCAGCGGGGAGGCGUUACCCGAAGAAGAAGCACAGGAUAACUCCGUGCCAGCCGACGCGGUAAUUC